Molecule: ribosomal RNA, 1261 nt
Filed under: Schistosoma mansoni
Lineage: Eukaryota; Metazoa; Platyhelminthes; Trematoda; Strigeidida; Schistosomatidae
Description: partial large subunit ribosomal RNA
Rfam family: Eukaryotic large subunit ribosomal RNA
Source: RNAcentral
UAGUAACUGCGAGUGAACAGGGAUUAGCCCAACACCGAAGCCUGCGGUUAUUUGAUCGUAAGGCAAUGUGGUGUUUAGGGUGGCUUCAGGCAUUACUGCUCUGUCCCAAGUCCAGCAAUGAGUACGGCUUCCCAUUCUGGCCCAAAGAGGGUGAAAGGCCCGUGGGGGCAGAGAUCAAGUGUGACAGUUUUGCUCUGAGCUACCCUUGGAGUCGGGUUGUUUGUGAAUGCAGCCCAAAGUGGGUGGUAAACUCCAUCCAAGGCUAAAUACUUACACGAGUCCGAUAGCAAACAAGUACCGUGAGGGAAAGUUGAAAAGUACUUUGAAGAGAGAGUAAACAGUGCGUGAAACCGCUCAAAGGUAAACGGGUGGAGUUGAACUGCAAGCUCUGGGAAUUCAGCUGAUGAGUGUGAUUUGUACUUGGGCAUACUGGCCGCCUUCAGUGUCUGUUUAACCGCAGGUGCCUUCCUUUUUGGUGGGUAUGUGUGAAUCGUUUGCUUACGACGCGCGCACUGUUGGUGUGAGGGUCUGCUUGUCAGUGCACUUUCUCAGGGUGUUCACCACGACCGGCACUGCUGCCUGUCUGCUAUGGUCAAACUGAUCAGGUCUGAUUUCUGUCAGUCUUGGUUGGGUCGGUAGGUGGCUCUUUGGCUCAUUUAUGGGCCGUGAGUGUUACUAACUGGCUGUAGUGGAUCUGUGCGGUGUGUCGGAGAUGGCGGCUUCGCAUGCGUGCUUAGACCUUCGGGCAUUGCUGAGUGUGGUCGGUUUGUUACUAGCUUCGGCUGGUCGGCUGAUGGCUUGGUUUUGUCACGUCGGCGGUUGCGUGUGUGGUUUGCAUUGGGCCAAUAGUCUGUGGUGUAGUGGUAGACGAUCCACCUGACCCGUCUUGAAACACGGACCAAGGAGUUUAACAUGUGCGCGAGUCAUUGGGUGUUACGAAACCCAAAGGCGAAGUGAAGGUAAAGGUUCGGCUUGUCCGGACUAAGGUGAGAUCCUGUUGUCUUGCUCAUACUUUCCAAGUUGCGAGCAGCGGGCGCAUCACCGGCCCGUCCCAUGACGUAGACAUGUGACCUCGUGUUGUGUGCACCGUCGGGGCGGAGCAAGAGCGUACACGUUGAGACCCGAAAGAUGGUGAACUAUGCUUGUGAAGGUUGAAGCCAGAGGAAACUCUGGUGGAGGACCGUAGCGAUUCUGACGUGCAAAUCGAUCGUAUAACGUGAGUAUAGGGGCGAAAGACUAAUCGAACUAUCUAGUACUGGUC